GUUGAACGCUGGCGGCAUGCCUAACACAUGCAAGUCGAGCGGAUGAAGGGAGCUUGCGCCUGGAUUCAGCGGCGGACGGGUGAGUAAUGCCUAGGAAUCUGCCUGGUAGUUGGGGAUAACGUCCGUAAACGGGCGCUAAUACCGCAUACGUCCUGAGGGAGAAAGUGGGGGAUCUUCGGACCUCACGCGAUCAGAUGAGCCUAGUUCGUAUUAGCUAGUGGUUGGGUUAAAGCCUUACCAAGGCGACGAUCCGUAACUGGUCUGAGAGGAUGAUCAGUCAACGUGGAACUGAGAAAGGGUCAAGACUCCACGGGGAGGCAGAAGUGGGGAAUAUUGGAAAAGGGGCGAAAGCUGAUCCAGCCAUGCCGCGUGUGUGAAGAAGGUCUUCGGAUUGUAAAGCACUGUAAGUUGGGAGGAAGGGAAGUAAGUUAAUACAUUGCUGUCUUGACGUUACCAACAGAAUAAGCACCGGCUAACUUCGUG
RNAcentral lists this ribosomal RNA (483 nucleotides) under uncultured bacterium. Its description in RNAcentral is "partial 16S ribosomal RNA". It matches the Rfam family "Bacterial small subunit ribosomal RNA", at positions 28 to 507 of the family's 1533-position model. The record is from RNAcentral.